Molecule: ribosomal RNA, 116 nt
Filed under: Sinocyclocheilus anshuiensis
Lineage: Eukaryota; Metazoa; Chordata; Actinopteri; Cypriniformes; Cyprinidae
Source: RNAcentral
ACCGGCAGCCAUAUCACCCUGUAGCCCAAGACUGGUUGCCCACUGAAGCCAAGCAGGGUUGAGCUGGUCAGUACCUGGAUGGGAGACCUCCUGGGAAAACUAGGUUGCUGCUGGAA